AGGACGAACGCUGGCGGCGUGCUUAACACAUGCAAGUCGAGCGGAAAGGCCCUUCGGGGUACUCGAGCGGCGAACGGGUGAGUAACACGUGAGUAAUCUGCCCCUAGCUCUGGGAUAGCUCCGGGAAACCGGGAUUAAUACCAGAUACGACCACUUUAGACAUCUGCUGUGGUGGAAAGAAUUUCGGCUAGGGAUGAGCUCGCGGCCUAUCAGCUUGUUGGUGAGGUAACGGCUCACCAAGGCGACGACGGGUAGCCGGCCUGAGAGGGCGACCGGCCACACUGGGACUGAGACACGGCCCAGACUCCUACGGGAGGCAGCAGUGGGGAAUAUUGCGCAAUGGGCGAAAGCCUGACGCAGCGACGCCGCGUGGGGGAUGAAGGCCUUCGGGUUGUAAACCCUUUCAGCAGGGACGAAGCGAAAGUGACGGUACCUGCAGAAGAAGCGCCGGCUAACUACGUGCCAGCAGCCGC
This 473-nucleotide ribosomal RNA is filed under the name uncultured bacterium. RNAcentral describes it as "SSU rRNA". It matches the Rfam family "Bacterial small subunit ribosomal RNA", at positions 26 to 518 of the family's 1533-position model. The record is from RNAcentral.